CUCAGACAGGAUGCCAGCACACACAGGAGGCCACAGGCGAAAGGCCAACCUGCUGGGCUGAAGGUGGACCAUGGGCCACGCCUGAGUGACAGGAGCCCCUCUGCAGCCAGAAGCGCCUCUGGAAAAACCCAACCCGACAGGACCGGCUCUAGAAAGGCCGCCGGGGGUCAGCCCGCUCCCUGCGGAGAGCAGGGGAGGGGAGGGUCCCGGGACCCUUCCAAGAUUUUCACAGCAUCUCAGCAGCGCGCCCAGAGCUCAGUCCAUGACCGGCUGCCCCCGGAGAAAGAAUUACGACUUGUCCGGCGCCCCGCUCCCCACACCGUUGGCCCCGGGGCCCCCUGACGACAGCCAGCUUGGGGGCUCCCGUCUGCAGGGACCCUGUGUUUUCACCUGGCACUGAGGCCUGCAGAUUAUACAGCUGGCCAAGCUCAGUGACCUGGGGUCCACUCUGGAUGUAGAGAAAACACACCUCUGUCAGGGGCACGGGCAUUGGGUCCAGAAAACGCCCUGCUGCCGACCAGCAUGUUGAAAAAGGAGGCCACAGAGCGGGGAGGAACCAAGCCAAGGACAUCAAGGCAAAGGUGAAACCAAGUUCCCCAGAAACCAAAUUUCCCUUGCCAGGUUUAUGAACCUCUCUAUCCAAAACUUUAUUCUCUUUCUUAUCCUAACCCCAUCCCCCUCAAGACUGAGGAGAAUCAGAGAAAAGUGGGGAUUGAAACAAAGCAGGACACUGCAGGGCCUUCCCAAGCACAAAAACACCUCUGUGUCCCACGUUUCUUGUUUGCAGAAAAAGGCUGUAAUCCCAAAGGUCUUCCCUGAGUUCCAAAUAGCAGACUCAAGCAGUUACUAAUUAGCGAAGUGAGGGAGUGGGGAAACAGAAAAAGCAGUUAAGCAAGAAAAGUAAUGACAGCUUAAACAACAAUCGAGUUGUAGGUCCUCCUCAUAGAAUGUGUAUAACAAUCUGAUGUGUAUCUUUGAGUUGUUCUGCAGGAACUGGGACCCCCGCCCAGGUGGGGGAUGGUGACCACAUACUCACCACAAGCAUGCAGACCCCAGACUGGCUGGAACCAGAAGACUGUUGGUCAAAAAUCCCAAAACACCACUCUGUUAGCUCACCACCAACCAAUCAGAAGAAGGGCGCGUGAGCUGCAACCCUCGUCCCAAAUGUUGCCUUUAAAACCCCUUCCCUGAAAAUCAGUGAGGGGUUGGGGCUUUCAAGCAUGAGCUGUCCAUUCUCCUUGCUUGUUGCCCUGCAAAUAAACGCUGUGCUUUUCUUCACACACCACAGUGUCAGUAAGUUGGCUUUGCUACAUGGCGAGCAAGGUUGGUUCAGUAACAGAGGGUACCAGGCCCAGGGACAAAGGUCUGAAGUGGCCUUGACAGCCCAUGGGCUGUGUGAGAACAAGCAACGGGCUCCUGCGUCACUGCAGCUUGCACAUCUCCCUGGAGAGCAUCCAGCACCACGGGGACCCCAGGCUCUCAGGGCCUGGGGACAAGUGCCAGCAUCUGGACACACAUGGGCUGGACACAGGCCCCACAGGACACAGUUACAUGAGUGUGCAUGCCACAAAAGCCUGGGAGAAAACACAUAAAACUCUUCACAGUGUUUCUCAGCAAGGCAGCGGUUGAUAAACACCCUCGGUGUAAGGAGCGGUGAAACACAGAAUCCACGCAUAUUUCUGGGAACGCGACCAGCUCCUUGUCAGUAGCCCCAGCACAGGACGUGGGUGUGCGAGUACUGGCACACGGGGGCAUACACGAACGCUCAUGGCACACACAGCCCACACCCAAUCCACACUCCGGUUUCUCACAAAGCCCAGACUGGGCUGUCUGUCACGGCCAGCAAUAGGCGGACUCACUUACGUGUAAAUCGCGGGUACAUCUAAAUCCAAAGGGACAAGCAUGCUGCAAUUACGGUGAGCACAGAAAACUGAGCUUAAAGGUCAGGGGUCUCAGGUCAGCAGAUAUUUCAAACCCCGCCCCGUACUCCUUUCCCCGCAGCUGAUGCCCAAGGUGGCUGCCCCUGUGCCGGGCUGUCCCGGGGCCCAGGCCUCUCCUGGCAGUUAGGAAUCCAAGGCUCAGGAAAGGCGGGCAACGCCCAAGGGGGCCUCACUGGUUUAUGGCAGAGUGGGAACCACAAGCAGGGUUUGGGGUGAUUCACUUUUUCCCCUAGCUUAUUGGAUUUUUAAGUUACAGAGGAGCAAUGAAAGAUGGAAGAAACUGGAAUUAAUACUGACCUGCUUGGUCCAGCUGGGAGCAGCCUGUGAAGAGCCUCACCUUGUGGGUGUUAAGUAGGCAAUGACAUGUUUCCCCAUGAAGACAGCACCAGAGGAAAUAAGAAUCUUGUGAUGGGGACUUCUCUGGAUGUCCAGAGGCUAAGACUCCAUGCUCCUAAUGCAGGGAGCCCAGGUUCAAUCCCUGGUUGGGAAACUGGACCCCAUGUGCCGCGACUAAGCAUUCACAUGUGGCAACUAAAGAUCCUGCAGGCUGCAACUAAGACCCAGGGCAG
Molecule: long non-coding RNA, 2509 nt
Organism: Bos taurus (domestic cattle)
Lineage: Eukaryota; Metazoa; Chordata; Mammalia; Artiodactyla; Bovidae
Source: Ensembl